Molecule: long non-coding RNA, 3325 nt
Organism: Corvus hawaiiensis (hawaiian crow)
Lineage: Eukaryota; Metazoa; Chordata; Aves; Passeriformes; Corvidae
Exons: 2
Source: RefSeq, a predicted model, not a curated record
AUAACAUCUGGUGGAUUAAAAGAGAAAAGAAAAUUGCCUUUCAUCAUUUUUAUACUCAUAUAUAUACGUUUGAGAACGUGUUUAUCAUAGUGAAAAUAGUAAAUGAAACUGGAGAAAUCAGUAAUAACUUUUUCAGUAGUGAAUUUCAGAUUUAGCUCAGUUCAUAUCAGCCUGACUGUUAAUCAAGGCUGAAAUUCUGGAAAGCAUCACUUUUUUUGAUGGUUCAUGUUUGGUAGACAGACUAGGAAAAUCCAGUUCUAUCUAUUCAAAAUGUGUUCGUAGUUAAGUCUGGCCUGUUCCAAUGACUACAUCUGUGAAGUCAAAAAAGUGAAUAAACCUCAGGAAUAGCAUUAACAAAAUGCAAAAUGCUGUCCAAAUGCCUUGGUGUCAGGAGCUGCUGAUGGGGUGCUCAGUUUGAAGAAUUUAGGAAGGAUCUGAUGUUUCAUUGGGCCCAUUUGUGAAGAAACUUGGAUUCAUAUAAACAAGAAACAAAUAGAAGUAACUUUUUAAGAUUUGGUUGUAUAAAUAUAGCCCCUGGAACAUGCCAACACUGAGCCACCACAAACUAAGCAGGAUCUGCAGUGGUUAAAUUCACUGCCUGUUGCUAUCAAGUCUUCCCAAAAUAGUUUCUUGGAAUGAAAUCACAACCAUGCAUAUGACACGGAUAUCAAAAUCACAGACACAAAAUUACAGGUUUCCACACUGCUUAUGUAGGUAUUUUGUCUCUAUUCUGGAAAUGUUGAUUUAAAGGUUGAAUGGUGAAGGUUUUCAAAACCCUACUCCCUCACACCUUUAAAGCUUACAAGAAAAUGUAGUGUAACUGCAUAUACACCUAUCUAGAAGUCUGUCCUCUUCUAGACAGGUGAGCACUGAAUUCUGCAAGUCUGUCUACCCAGUGUCAUGUGUUUCUAUGCCUGUUAUUGUUCUUUUUUAGAAGUAAAAACUGUACAAUGUCUUUUUAGUCAGCAGGAACUCCACAGCUGAAAGACUCUUACAUGCAAACAGAUUCAGCUGAAGCUUUGGUGUCUUACAGCCAUCAAAAAUUCAUGGGAGAGAUAAAAACCACUGGUACUCUGAUACUAGAAUUCUGAUGAUGAUAUUUUUCACAGUUAAGCUUUCAUAUUUUCUGUCUGAACAUAGGUAACUGUCUUUCCCAUGAUCAGUGUGAAUUCUCUGAUACUCUGAGUUUCUCUACAUUUUCUACUGCUUAAGUGUAAUUUGUAAUAGAAUAAUUUGUAUGCAAAGUCAGUUGGACUUGACAUAAUCCAUUGAAAAUCAAGCUAUUGGUGCAUACAGAAAUACUUGUUAGUAGUAUUUAAACAUUUAGUUUUGCAAUUUUUGAAAGCUAUUAGGAAAUGUAAUAAUGUUACAGAAAAGCUUAAUGUAAUCUAGGGUUUUUUUCUGGCUUUGCAGAUAGGACAAUUACUUUUAUUUUUUUUUAAUAUCCUUCCUUAGAGGAGAAACUGAUGUAAAUUUUCCUUGUCUUGCAUUUUCAUGUGGCUUAUUUUCUGUAUGUAUGCUCCUACUGUACUCUAUUUAAGCUAUGAUGCUAAAAAGUGAUGUUUAGAAGAAAGUAACGUGCUUUUGGUUUGAUCAGUGUGUGGUACAAUUUACAAGUUAAACAGUAAAAAUGUAAUAAAAAGUUUUUUCAUUACUAACGGGAAUAUGCAGCUCGCUGGGGGUGAAAAACUGUGGAUGCUCAUUUGUCAUCUCAUCUACAUCUGGUUUUGUAUGGGUAACUUACAGUUUUGUAUCAGCUAACUUAUAGUUUUCUAAACCCCUGAUGUUUUCAGAAACCCUUGAAUAGACUCCAGAUUUUUAGUACUCAUAAAUCUGUUGUACUUUUUAAAAAAAGUUUUUAUUUCAUAUAGUCUGUAAUAUCCAUCAGUCUAAGAAAAUUGGGCUGGAACUUAGCUGAAGGAUGACGGAUAGUCUUAGUGGAGAUCCUGAAUGCAAUUUGACUACAGCCUCUAUUGAGAACAUAGCAUUUGUCACAUAUAACUAGUAUGGUCAAUGCAUCUUGAGGAGUUUACACAGAUUUUUCUGAGUUCCAAAGGAAACGUCAGUUUUAAGCUUAUUAGGAAUUUUGCAAAGAAUAUUUGACCUGUAUGUGUAUCUGCAUCUUAAGGAAACAAGCAACUGGUAGGUUUCUUUAAUACACUUUUUAUAGUAUGUAAGUCUCAUUUUCUCUGCUUAGCCUGAGACUCCAACUACUUGCACCAGUCUUGUAUUUAUUAGUGUAAAAGUAUGUAAUUAGUUUUACUUUGUUUAUUUGAAAAAAGUGUAGAUGCUUUAAAAAAGUUUUUAAAACCCCAUUAAUAGUUGUCAGUACAGAAAUUAGGGGAAAUCUUCAAAACAGAAGUAUGUAAUAUUAUGUGAUAAUGCAGUCCUUAGUCCCUGAACUACUCCUCACAGUACAAGGAGUUUUCAACAUAAGUUAUGAGAUCAGUGCUGGUGUCUAGCAAACACAUAAAGAACAGGUAAUGGAAAAGGGAGGGCACCAACAGUAGCACCUGCGGUUUUCAAACAAAAGCAGUAAAAUCUGUAUGAUUUUAGCCAAAGUGGCUGUGACAAAUGCUGUCAAAGGGAUUUUCAGAUUCAUCACUGUCUGUCACAAGAAAUGCUCAUGAUCUGAAUUGUGAACUUUAUUUAGGUGAAGACUUUGGGAAUUGUGUUCCUGGCAUCUCUUACCUACUGUAGAUAUGGACAAUGUAACAGUUGUGGGAUGUAUCUGCAUGGAGUGGAACAAAGCAAGGAUGGAAUAUGGGAAGCUGGCAGAAGAAUGAGGCUGAAAACCAGAACAAAAAAAAAAAGGAGCAUCAAGGACAGGACUCCAGCAUAGCUGUGUUGACCAUGAGAAGGGUUACAGAAGAAAAUUAAUCAGAGAUGGUGCUGGUGACAGCCAGGGAAUACAGCCUGGGUGGCUGACUGGAAAAAAAAAUGGUCUACUGAGAGAUGUGAUAAUAGAAAUCUGCUGCUCUGGCUUCACUCAUGCAAUCUCAACAAGUUGAAGGGUCCCUGCAUUGCUCAUGUCUGUAGGACAGGCAGAAAGGGAACAUACGCUCUAAAAAAAAGAGAAGAUGGAGCUCAGUUACACAUGUAUAGAAUAAAUGAGAAAAAGUGACGGCUCCAUAAGACACGUUGUACCAUAAAUGCACAUGUGCCCAUUUAGGUGUGUGUUGUGACAGUAACAGAUGUCUAAUUUCUGUUUUCACAUAUUAUUUUCUUGUUUGAUCUUAGCUCUGAGUUUCAAUGUCUUGUGUGCUUUAAAGCUGUGCUUGUCCAAAAUGCAUUUUAAGUACAAAUAAAAAUAAAUUUAUCAUUU